AUCCAGCUGACGAGUCCGAAAUAGGAAGAAACGCGUAUCCUGAAU
Molecule: non-coding RNA, 45 nt
Organism: Schistosoma margrebowiei
Lineage: Eukaryota; Metazoa; Platyhelminthes; Trematoda; Strigeidida; Schistosomatidae
Source: Rfam